Molecule: long non-coding RNA, 275 nt
Filed under: Elaeis guineensis (African oil palm)
Lineage: Eukaryota; Viridiplantae; Streptophyta; Magnoliopsida; Arecales; Arecaceae
Description: long non-coding RNA (EGUI_LNC059083)
Source: RNAcentral
UUGUUAGGAGCUUUAGGGAAGGCUCUUUUAAAUAGGUAUAAGGUUUGAAUCCUAUUCAAAAUCAAACAAUCACUUAAUACAAGUCCUACUUGCAUUAGGAAUCCUUAUUCCUUUAGUUAUUUGAGUCCCUUUAGGAGAUCCUUUAGGUGCCAACUUUUGGAGCCCUUGUACCCAUAAAUACACAUGCCAUAUGGCCACCAUGGGACACCCCAAUCAAGUCCACAUGCCCUCUCUAGUGUGUGCACAUCCAACUUGAUCAAAUCAAGUGGCGCCCC